CUAACAUGCUAAAUCAGAAGUAUGGGUCCUUCAGGUUUAAACCUGUGCUUGUUAGCUGCUAACAUGCUAAAUCAGAAGUAUGGCCCCUUCAUGUUUAUACCUGCACUUGUUAGCUGCUAGCAUGCUAAGUCAGAAGUAUGGGUCUUUCAGGUUUAAACCUGUGCUUGUUAGCCGCUAACAUGCUAAAUCAGAAGUAUGGGUCUUUCAGGUUUAAACCUGUGCUUGUUAGCCGCUAACAUGCUAAAUCAGAAGUAUGGCCCCUUCAGGUUUAUACCUGCACUUGUUAGCCGCUAACAUGCUAAGUCAGAAGUAUGGGUCUUUCAGGUUUAAACCUGUUCUUGUUAGCUGCUAACAUGCUAAGUCAGAAGUAUGGGUCUUUCAGGUUAAAACCUGUCCUUGUUAGCUGCUAACAUGCUAAGUCAGAAGUAUGGGUCUUUCAGGUUUAAACCUGUUCUUGUUAGCCGCUAACAUGCUAAGUCAGAAGUAUGGGUCUUUCAGGUUUAAACCUGUUCUUGUUAGCCGCUAACAUGCUAAGUCAGAAGUAUGGGUCUUUCAGGUUUAAACCUGUGCUUGUUAGCCGCUAACAUGCUAAAUCAGAAGUAUGGCCCCUUCAGGUUU
Oncorhynchus keta (chum salmon) is the source of this 618-nucleotide long non-coding RNA. RefSeq lists it as uncharacterized. Lineage: Eukaryota; Metazoa; Chordata; Actinopteri; Salmoniformes; Salmonidae. The transcript has 4 exons. The record is from RefSeq and is a predicted model, not a curated record.